RNAcentral lists this ribosomal RNA (674 nucleotides) under uncultured euryarchaeote. RNAcentral's name for it is "bacterial SSU rRNA". It matches the Rfam family "Archaeal small subunit ribosomal RNA", at positions 83 to 762 of the family's 1478-position model. Lineage: Archaea; Methanobacteriati; Methanobacteriota. The record is from RNAcentral.
CGGCUCAGUAACACGUGGAUGACCUACCCUCAGAUCUGGGAUAACUCCGGGAAACUGGAGAUAAUACCGGAUAAUCCGUGAACGCUGGAAUGCCUUACGGUUGAAAGCUUUAGCGUCUGAGGAUGGGUCUGCGGCCGAUUAGGUAGUUGCUGGGGUAACGUCCCAACAAGCCGAUAAUCGGUACGGGUUGUGAGAGCAAGAGCCCGGAGAUGGAUUCUGAGACACGAAUCCAGGUCCUACGGGGCGCAGCAGGCGCGAAAACUUUACACUGCGCGAAAGCGCGAUAAGGGGACCUCGAGUGCGUGCGCAAAGCGUACGCUUUUCAGAUGCCUAAAAAGCAUCUGGAAUAAGGGCCGGGCAAGACCGGUGCCAGCCGCCGCGGUAACACCGGCGGCUCAAGUGGUGGCCGCUAUUAUUGGGCUUAAAGGGUCCGUAGCCGGACCAGUUAGUCCCUUGGGAAAUCUUACGGCUUAACCGUAAGGCUGCCAAUGGAUACUGCUGGUCUUGGGACCGGGAGAGGCAAGAGGUACCUCAGGGGUAGGAGUGAAAUCCUGUAAUCCUUGAGGGACCGCCAGUGGCGAAGGCGUCUUGCUAGAACGGGUCCGACGGUGAGGGACGAAAGCUAGGGGCACGAACCGGAUUAGAUACCCGGGUAGUCCUAGCCGUAAACGAUG